RNAcentral lists this ribosomal RNA (493 nucleotides) under uncultured bacterium. RNAcentral describes it as "partial 16S ribosomal RNA". It matches the Rfam family "Bacterial small subunit ribosomal RNA", at positions 29 to 523 of the family's 1533-position model. The record is from RNAcentral.
AUUGAACGCUGGCGGCAUGCCUUACACAUGCAAGUCGAACGGUAACAGGUUAAGCUGACGAGUGGCGAACGGGUGAGUAAUACAUCGGAACGUGCCCAGACGUGGGGGAUAGCUCGGCGAAAGCCGGAUUAAUACCGCAUAAGCUCUGAGGAGGAAAGCGGGGGACCGUAAGGCCUCGCGCGUUUGGAGCGGCCGAUGGCAGAUUAGGUAGUUGGUGGGGUAAAGGCUUACCAAGCCUACGAUCUGUAGCUGGUCUGAGAGGACGACCAGCCACACUGGGACGGAGACACGGCCCAGACUCCUACGGGAGGCAGCAGUGGGGAAUUUUGGACAAUGGGCGAAAGCCUGAUCCAGCAAUGCCGCGUGCAGGAUGAAGGCCUUCGGGUUGUAAACUGCUUUUGUACGGAACGAAAAGGCGCCUACUAAUACUGGGUGUUGAUGACGGUACCGUAAGAAUAAGCACCGGCUAACUACGUGCCAGCCGCCGCGGUAA